Molecule: ribosomal RNA, 496 nt
Filed under: uncultured bacterium
Lineage: Bacteria
Description: bacterial SSU rRNA
Rfam family: Bacterial small subunit ribosomal RNA
Source: RNAcentral
AACGAACGCUGGCGGCGCGCCUAAUACAUGCAAGUCGAGCGAGAAGGUGUAGCAAUACACUUGUAAAGCGGCGAACGGGUGAGGAAUACAUGGGUAAUCUACCAUCGAGUGGGGAAUAACCAACCGAAAGGUUGGCUAAUACCGCGUACGCCUCCGAGUCUUCGGGUUCGGAGGGAAAGCUGCACUGUGAGUGUAGCGCUCUUUGAUGAGCUCAUGUCCUAUCAGCUUGUUGGUAGGGUAACGGCCUACCAAGGCUUUGACGGGUAGCUGGUCUGAGAGGACGAUCAGCCACACUGGCACUGCGACACGGGCCAGACUCCUACGGGAGGCAGCAGUAAGGAAUAUUGCGCAAUGGGCGAAAGCCUGACGCAGCGACGCCGCGUGGGGGAUGAAGGUCUUCGGAUUGUAAACCCCUUUCGGGAGGGAAGAUGGAACGAGCAAUCGUUCGGACGGUACCUCCAGAAGCAGCCACGGCCAACUUCGUGCCAGCAGCCGC